This 305-nucleotide ribosomal RNA is filed under the name uncultured bacterium. RNAcentral's name for it is "bacterial SSU rRNA". It matches the Rfam family "Bacterial small subunit ribosomal RNA", at positions 338 to 640 of the family's 1533-position model. The record is from RNAcentral.
CCUACGGGGGGCAGCAGUGAGGAAUAUUGGUCAAUGGGCGGAAGCCUGAACCAGCCAAGUCGCGUGAGGGAAUAAGGCCCUACGGGUCGUAAACCUCUUUUGCCGGGGAGCAAGGGCGGGGACGUGUCCCGGCCCGGAGAGUACCCGGAGAAAAAGCAUCGGCUAACUCCGUGCCAGCAGCCGCGGUAAUACGGAGGAUGCGAGCGUUAUCCGGAUUUAUUGAGUUUAAAGGGUGCGCAGGCGGUCUGUUAAGUCAGCGGUCAAAGCACGGGGCUCAACCCCGGCCCGCCGUUGACACUGGCAGU